Molecule: long non-coding RNA, 7799 nt
Organism: Bubalus bubalis (water buffalo)
Lineage: Eukaryota; Metazoa; Chordata; Mammalia; Artiodactyla; Bovidae
Exons: 6
Source: RefSeq, a predicted model, not a curated record
UUUGUUCCUUCUUUUUUUUCAUUGAUCUUUUCUAUCUUGUGAGUUAUUUGAACAUUUUUUGUAGUAUUCCAUUUAAAUUUAUUUGCAGCAUUGAUAAGUUUAUCUCUUUGUACAAUUUUUAAGUGGUUAUCCUGCAUUUGCAUAUAUAAUGUAUAUAACAGUUUACCAGUAUCAGCAUUAUGUCACUUCAAAUGGAAUGUAGAAACUGAUCAUUGGUUAGUUGAAAUCUUGUUCCCUUUUUGUGCUAAAGUGCCUGUCAGAUGAACAACAUUGCUCAUGUCAGAUUUCUCCAAAGUGACCACUGCAAUACCUAAUUGUCUUUGAUAAAAUUAUGCACCUUGAAGAGAUGUGUGCAUGAUUUAGCAAUAUAAGAGGUAUCAUGAAGAAAAGGUUUUUGGCCUUAUUAGGGAGUGCAAACUUAGACUAAAAAAUUCUCAUGAGGAUUAUUGCAUUGAUAAUGUGCUUUUGUAACUAUGUCUCCAGUUCUGUCAAAGACCAGAUUGCAGGUGAGGACUAUUUGAAAAAAAAAAAAAGAAAAAACAGCUCUAAGAAGACACAACUAUAGAAAGUAAGUCUUAAAAUACCUUGAAAGGUGACUGUUGUGGGUUGAAUUGUCUACCAGAAAGCCAUGUUGAAGUCUAAACUCCAGGUACCUGUGAAUGUGAGUUUAUUUGGAAAUAGGGCGAAGUUAAAAUGAGGUCAUACUGAAUUAGGGUGGGCCCUGAAUCCAGUGACGUGUCAUUCGAUGGAGAGGGAGGUCUGGAGAUGCACGAAGAGGGAAGUAGGCCAUGUAAUAACAGCGGCAGAGACUGGAGAGCUGGAACUAUAAGGUAAGGAAAACCAAAGAUUGCAACAACCACCAGAAACUAGAAAGGACUCAAGUAAUACAGUGACCCAAGGCAGAGUUUAUUCCAAGGAUCCAGGGCUGAUGAGAUGAGACUUUCCGAACUUAGAAGCUAUCAGCACCAGCCUCACUGGCAAGCUGUCUGGUCUGUCUCCCUCACUGUAGGCUUUCCUUUUAUAAAGGAGUGAUUGUCAAGAAAAUGGACAACUGGGCAGAUAAAUAGCAAUGCUGAGUUAAAUGCUUAGCAGCCAAAUUUUACCAAAGAGCAGUGAUCAGAAUUCAGAAGUCCUAGGAACCAAGUAUAAACCUAAUGUUGAAGGGCUCAACAAAUUAUUUGGAGCUCACAUUUCAGCAGCAGUCCUCUUGUAAAGGACAACCUAGAGACUAUGGAGAUUCAAGGAGUUUGAGAUUCGUUCCUGAUUUACAAGUCAAGCAUGGUUUGUGACAGAGAAGGGUCUAAACUAGAUUCAGGAAGCGCCACUCUUGCAUUAACUGACCAAUCACAGACCACUGUGACCACAACUGAGAUCAAAGUGAAGUUUCUUUAGCAAGGUGAGGACCUGAGGGGCAUCCUUGUAAGAGAGUUGGAGCAAACUUACAGGUCUGGACUGGUGCUGGGUGAUUCAAAGAAGGGUUAACAAAAUGGAGGCUGGUAGUGAUGUGGGUGCUGUCAGGAGCUUGGGGCUACUCAGUAAUUGUAUACCUUGAUAGUUUUAUCUAGGAGGCGAUUCAUGUAAAGCAGAGAUAGAGUUGUUGACAAAAAGAAAAGUCAUGUCAGAAACAGGAGGUGCAUAAUUACUUUAUGCAGAAUGUAGUUGCAGAAUGUCUCAUCUCUUGUUUGAGACGUGCCUGCUGAGUGGUUCUGCCCUGCUGGGUCCACUGUCUUCACCGAGCUGCCUCGUCUGAUCAUGGAUAUAUUGUUGUUGAUAUAUUGUGACCAUUGUUUAUGUUUAGGUGAGGCUGUCGCAGCCUUUCUACUACUUGCCAAGACUUCUUCCUUUUCUAGGAGUCCGACCUGGAGACCGCAUUUAUCACUUCUGCCUACAUGCAGUUGGUUAGGACACAGUCGUGGCUACAGCUAAGAGGAUGGGAAGUAGAUUUUAGCUGUGCCCAAAGGAAAUGUGAAAUAAGUUUAGUAAUUAUGUGACACUCUUUUUUCAUUGUUUUUGUUCUUUUUUCUCUUUAUCCCCAUUUCUACUCCCAUAAGACAUACAACGUAGUAUUUAAUAUGUGUCCUUCUGAAGUACCUUCUAUAUAUUUAAUUAAUUAAUAUGAAUCUUUGAAAGAUACAUAGGAUUGCUUUGAGUACAUUCAUAAAGUGUAAGUAAAUGUUCAUUGUAUAUCAUUGUGAUAAUUUUUCCUGUAUUUUUGAGAUCCAUUUAUGCUGCUACAUACAGAUCAAAUCCAUACCUCCUGAUUGCUUCAAAAUAUUAUGUUUUAUUCAUAUUCAUUUGACAUUUUACUUACCAUUUCACCACAUACAAGAAGUCAAAAGCCUUACUAAUUUGUCGUAUUUAUUCUUCCAGUUAUUUUUGCCGAGUGGAGCACCCCUUAGUGGCUUACGAUAAUGAUUUUAUUUUAAUCACAUGUCUGCAGUUGGCCUGGGACUGGCAGAGACAGCUCAUCCGUGCUCCAUGCACUGUUAGCUGGUGCUGGCAGGUUCUCAGCUGACUGGGCUGGAGUCCACUGAAUGCUCUGUGGCCUCUGGUGGAUGAUGUUGGCCGUUGGUGGGGGCCUCAGCUGGGGCUGUUUGCCAGAGCACCUACAUACAGCGUGUCCAUGUAGCUCCCCGGCUUCCUCAGUGUGGCGGCUUGGUUAAUCUAGUCCUGCAAGAGGUUUCAGUUUAGCAGAUCUGUCUUUGAUGUUGAGAGUUACAACCUGUCUUUCUAUCCUUCUAAAUAAACCCUUCUUUUUGUGAUAAGACUGCCUCAUUAGACUUUCUUGACUUACGUUUGAAACUGUUGUUGACAAUCCUACUGCUGUCUGAAUAACUUGAUGUUACUCUCUAUUUCUCCCCAUGCUCUUUGAUUUCUUACACCACUCAGUUUAGUUAUAAUAAUAAUGCCAUCAGCUCCCAUUUAUUGAAUGCCUAUCACACACCAGACACUCUACCCUGUACUUGGCAUUUAAGCCUCACAACAACCCACUGAAGAUGGUAAUUUCCCUAUUUUUUGGAGGAAGAAAUGAAAAUUUACAUGGAUUAGGUCAUUUGCUCAGGUUAUAUAUAAUUGAUAAGUAUGGAACCCAAACCCUACUCAGAUGUUUCUAAUUUUUAGUCUGUUUUCAGUCUGCCAUACUGGACCUGACGGGCAUGAUUUUUAUCUCCUAAAAAGCCAACACAGUUAUGUAGCAUCAAGUUGUGAGUUGUCCAUCAAACCACUUCCUCCUGUUGCUAGGCGCAUGACUAGAUUCCUUCAUUGCAGUUAGGCUUAGCCACAUGGUUGGGUUCUACCUACAGCAUGUGAACAGAAGAGAUAGACCCUAUUUCAUGGCCAGGCCCAAUAAAAUGUUCCAUUUCCUGUCCUUUAUGCUCUGCUUCUGCCAUCUAUUAAUAGUUUAUGGUGCCUAAAAUGACCUUGGAAACCACACAUUGAUGAUGUCAAAAACUGACAGCCCGGGUCCCUGACAGGGGUCCCUGACAGAGCUCCCUGCCACCAACCUCAAACCUCUAUAAACUUUAUAUGAGAAGGAGAUAAAUUUCUGCUUAUUUAAGCCAUUAUGUUUUUAGGGGUCUAUUUAUUACAGCAGUUAGCCUUCCUUAAUUUUUAUGGACUGUUUCAAUUAUGCUUUUGUGGGUAACAACCCACCUCAAAAUUUUAGUGGCUUAAAACCAUAGUCUUCACUCAUGAUUCUGUGAAUUAGAAACUUAGUCUCUUGCCUAUGCUUGUUCAUACAGCCACAGCCAGCAGGUGGGUGAGCUGGGGGCUGACUGGUCUAGCAUGGCCUGACUCAUGUGUCCUGAGAUAAGAGCUAGAGCUGGCUGCUGGCUGGACCACGUGUCUCCAGCAGGUUUGCCUGGGGUAAUUCACAUGGUGGUAGAAGCGUUCUCAGCAGCGAGAGGGGGCAAGCCCCAAUCUGCAAGUACCUUUAAGGCGUCUACUUGCAUGUGUUUGCCAAUUUAGCAGUAUCCAAUGCAAGCCACAUAGGUGGAGGGAAAUGUGAUUUCUUGGGGAGUGCUCAGUGCAAGCACUCUGCAGACACGCUACAGUACUCAUGUGCAAAGUAGGCAAAUUGUUCACAUGUGUACAACAGCUCAGCCACACAUUUGAUAAGAGAUUCCAGCUUUAAGCUGUAUUCAUAACCUCUGAAUCAAGUUGUAAUAGCAGGGUUGGUUUUAAUAAAAAUUAUGAUGAUUUUGUUUUAAAAUUACAUUUCAGGUCUAUAUGAAAAAAUGAAAUAUUUGCCAACACGUGAUACGUUCAGGUUAGUAGCACUGGUACUAUAACGAUGAUGCUGUAGUUUAUGGCCUAAAUUUACCUGAUGUUUUAUGAAUUCAGUUUAUCAAGAGCCUAUGGAUUUGUAACCAAAUCCAUACUGUGAAGCAAUCUUUAAUUGCUAGAUUUUUAAUUUAGAUCUUUUAACUCUUUAAUCUUUAGAUUCACCCUUAUUUAGGGUCACUUGUAAAUAAAAAAGCUAGAAGUUCAGUACUUCCUCACUUUCUUUUACCUUUUGCUUUAUUAGGCGGCACUGAGCCACCUGCAGUGGCAGAAUGCUUUCCUGUCUGCUCAGGGUAAAGUACUCUGCAUGCUUUGCCUCCGUGAUGGUAUCAGUACAGUGGUUAAGGCCCUGAGUUCUGGAGCCAGAAUGUCCAGGGUCAUAUCCUAUCAUUUCAGCUGGUUGUGUGACCCUGGGCAAUUUAACUACACAGUGCCUCAGUUUUUGCAUCUAUAAAAUGGGGAUAAUUAUCACAAAGUAACUCAUAGGAUUUUUAUGAGAUUAAAUGAGAUAAAGUAUAUAAAAAAAAACAAACAAAAAAACGCUUAGUUCAGUGCCUAGCCGGUUAGAAGAAGUCAUAAUCAUUUUUUUUUUAAUUUUAGGUUUCUUGAGGUGUAAUUGACAAUUUAAUAUUUUUAAUUACUCUUCAGACCUAUGAGAAUGAAAUAUUUACCAAUACAUCAGAAACUCAGGUUUGUAGGAGACUGCCUAUUAGGAGAUGCAAGCUGAAGCCUCGACAUAAACGUUUCAAGAUGUAUAUAAGUUACUUUCAAAUGCUAUAGCAAAUGGAAAAAUUAUGUUGAAAAUAUAUUAAGGUUAAACAAAUAUGAUAAAAUGUUAAUACUUGUCAAUAUAUGUAGGAUAUGAGUGUUCAUUUAUUAUUUCAGGUUUUCUGUAGGUUUGAGACCUUUCCUGGUAAAAUAUGGAGGAUGGACAUUCUCUCCCCAGUUCUCUCAGCAUCCCAUUUUUCUUUUCAUUCCUCCUUGCUUUCUCUCAUCUUCCCCAGAUUCUCUCCCCAGUCUGUCCCAUGAGGGCCUCUUGUCUCUGCUCAUCUACAGGUCUCUCCUUGUUUGUCCUUACGACUAGCAGCAGCGUUGCCAGUAUAAGUGGUUAAACAUACAGCUCUGGAGCCAGACUGUCUGUGUUGGAAUAUCUGCCGUCUCUCUUACUGUGUGACCUUGGGCAAAUGACUUUUAAACUCUCUGUGGCUCCUCCAAAUGGUUGUGAGGAGUGAAGAAACAAUGAGUAUCUAUAAAUAAUUAGAAGAGGGCCUAGUAUCUUGAGAGCUUUCUGUAGGAAUUUGCCAUAAUGGUACUAUCCUCCUGGUGUCCUUCACUUCUUUUCUGUUCAGCAAUGAUGGGCCCUGCAGCCUUCCUCCUGAGGACAGGUAUUUGAGGGAAGAUUGCAAAUGCUUCUUACUUAAUACCUUUUUUUUUUUUAACACAAAGGAAUUGAAAUGAGCAAAACUCUUCCUGAAAAAGGUUUCCACAUUUAGAAGAAAUAUAUUCUACUCUGUUUUUGCUUUCCUAUUACCCUCUGAAGAGAUGAUUGUUUAAGAGUAAAAUCUUGCAUUAACCCUGGAUGUCGACCAUGGCAUCAACACCUUACCCUAACCUCACAAGCCCACCUCGUCUGCACUGUCUUCUCAACUUACUCUGGAAAUGGCACCGCCCUUCUUCCCGUGUGAGGCCAGUCUGUCACCUAUGCUGGAGAUUCCAGCCUCCUUGCCUUCUCAGGAGCCAUGCAUUCUCUUUUAUUCCUUAUUUCUCUAGUACUCACCUUUCCCUCCCAUUCCAUCUUUUCCAUGAGCAUUUAGCUCCUUCUCCUCUUAAGUUGGGCUUCCCUGGUGGCUCAGAUGGUAAAGAAUCUGCCUGCAAUAUGGGAAACACGGGUUUGAUCCCUGGAGAAGGAAGAUCCCCUGGAGAAGGAAAUAGCAACACACUCCAGUAUUCUUGCCUGGAGAGUUCUAUGGACAGGGGAGCCUGGCAGGCUACAGUCCGUGGGGUCGCAAGCCCCUAACACUUUCAUCUCAAGUCAGACGAGGGAACCCUCCCUAGACCCCAUAUCCCCUUUGAGCCACCGUCCUGUCUUUCUGCUUCACAUAUUUCUGGAAAGAUAUUUUCCUCUUCCAGUUAUUUCUCAGUCCACUCCAGUGGCUUCCCUGUUGCCAGUUUAACAAAAUGGCUGUUACUAAGGUGACCCAUAACCUCUGAGUCACUAAAUCCAUGGGCAUUUACUUUGACUUACAAAAACAUUCAGCAGCAGUGUAAUCUCCUUAUUGAGACCUCUUUAUUCAUCAUUGGCUAUCUGUUGUUCUGUCAAUAAUAAAGUACUGUAUCUUUGACCCAGGAGUCUCAGGUCUCAUGCUAGCUUCCAUGAAACAGUGUCUGACUUCUAACUUGUGAGUAGGCCAAAAUCCAGUCCCAGACCUGACACUGACCAUUGUAUUCCUAGCAGUUCCAUAGUGCUUUGCAUGAAGUAAGUGUUCAAUAUUUGUGAGAUGGAUGGAUGGACAGACAGAUGGACUUUCUCAGUUCUGCCAAGAUACUGCAGGGAUCAGACCUGAAGAGCCAACCGUGUUCUGGAUUCAUUCUGGGAUCAUGUGGGGAGACGGCUGAGAGAACAUGAACGUUAAUUUGAUCUGAAGUUUCUCUGGGCUUAUGUGUCUCAUUGGAGAGUAUUUUGAACUUCCAGCUUCUCUUCUGAAAUGUAAACCAUCUGACAGAGGGGUAAUAAUGAAAAAAAGUUGAGAAAACUGGACUAGAUGAUUCAGAUGGAAGUAUAAGGUUGACCACCAAUAGGCCCUUCUCGGGACUAUGUGUUGACUCAGCAGAAGGAAAAAGAUCUCACGUUGUCUGUGUCUUUGAAGUCAUGGAUGAAUGCACUGACAAUGAAAUUGCUCUUAACACCAUGUACUUUGGAUUUUUAUGUCCAGAGCAAGGAUUUUUAUUCCUGUAAGUGAGCAAUUAGUUACUGGAAAUAGACAUGUGUCACCCCUGGAAGUGGACCAAAACACCAACGAGCCAAAUGUGCCUUCCCAGUUGGGGAGCUGAAAGGGACACCUGGCAAAGGCUGGCGGGCCUGGCUUUGUGGGGUGGUGCCAGCUUCGCUCUGUUCAUACUGUGCAGUGAAGACAUGGAUGCGCUUCCCCCUGUUCAGUGAGUGACACGUAAAUGAGAAGUUUACCUAUGGGCAGUGGAGAACCUUCCCAACAAAUUAGGAGUCUAAUUUCACUUUUGUAAGAAAAUCCAUCAUUCGCCAUCUGGAAGACCAAAGUAUUUCCAGGUGGAGGGACUUGUGAAGGAUCACACUGAGGAUGCGUCUGACUGUUUCUCAUCUGGUUCUCACAGCACGUCACCCCAGGGCCCCACCCAAUGCAGUAAAUGUCUCUGAAGGGGUCACAGCGUGCUUGCCAGGCCGACUUCCUUUUUAAAACCCCUGACUCAGACAACUGGAAGGACUGAUGUUGAAGCUGAAACUCCAAUACUUUGGCCACCUGGUGCGAAGAGCUAACUCAUUU